GACGAACGCUGGCGGCGUGCCUAAUACAUGCAAGUCGAGCGAAGUUUUUCUGGUGCUUGCACUAGAAAAACUUAGCGGCGAACGGGUGAGUAACACGUAAAGAACCUGCCUCAUAGACUGGGACAACUAUUGGAAACGAUAGCUAAUACCGGAUAACAGCAUUAACUGCAUGGUUGAUGUUUAAAAGUUGGUUUUGCUAACACUAUGAGAUGGCUUUGCGGCGCAUUAGCUAGUUGGUGGGGUAAAGGCCUACCAAGGCGACGAUGCAUAGCCGACCUGAGAGGGUGAUCGGCCACACUGGGACUGAGACACGGCCCAGACUCCUACGGGAGGCAGCAGUAGGGAAUCUUCCGCAAUGGGCGAAAGCCUGACGGAGCAACGCCGCGUGAGUGAAGAAGGAUUUCGGUUCGUAAAGCUCUGUUGUUAGGGAAGAAUGAUUGUGUAGUAACUAUACACAGUAGAGACGGUACCCAACCA
RNAcentral lists this ribosomal RNA (477 nucleotides) under Gemella haemolysans. RNAcentral's name for it is "bacterial SSU rRNA". It matches the Rfam family "Bacterial small subunit ribosomal RNA", at positions 28 to 485 of the family's 1533-position model. Lineage: Bacteria; Bacillati; Bacillota; Bacilli; Caryophanales; Gemellaceae. The record is from RNAcentral.